Molecule: ribosomal RNA, 856 nt
Filed under: Bacillus siamensis
Lineage: Bacteria; Bacillati; Bacillota; Bacilli; Caryophanales; Bacillaceae
Description: bacterial SSU rRNA
Rfam family: Bacterial small subunit ribosomal RNA
Source: RNAcentral
AGUCGAGCGGACAGAUGGGAGCUUGCUCCCUGAUGUUAGCGGCGGACGGGUGAGUAACACGUGGGUAACCUGCCUGUAAGACUGGGAUAACUCCGGGAAACCGGGGCUAAUACCGGAUGGUUGUUUGAACCGCAUGGUUCAGACAUAAAAGGUGGCUUCGGCUACCACUUACAGAUGGACCCGCGGCGCAUUAGCUAGUUGGUGAGGUAACGGCUCACCAAGGCGACGAUGCGUAGCCGACCUGAGAGGGUGAUCGGCCACACUGGGACUGAGACACGGCCCAGACUCCUACGGGAGGCAGCAGUAGGGAAUCUUCCGCAAUGGACGAAAGUCUGACGGAGCAACGCCGCGUGAGUGAUGAAGGUUUUCGGAUCGUAAAGCUCUGUUGUUAGGGAAGAACAAGUGCCGUUCAAAUAGGGCGGCACCUUGACGGUACCUAACCAGAAAGCCACGGCUAACUACGUGCCAGCAGCCGCGGUAAUACGUAGGUGGCAAGCGUUGUCCGGAAUUAUUGGGCGUAAAGGGCUCGCAGGCGGUUUCUUAAGUCUGAUGUGAAAGCCCCCGGCUCAACCGGGGAGGGUCAUUGGAAACUGGGGAACUUGAGUGCAGAAGAGGAGAGUGGAAUUCCACGUGUAGCGGUGAAAUGCGUAGAGAUGUGGAGGAACACCAGUGGCGAAGGCGACUCUCUGGUCUGUAACUGACGCUGAGGAGCGAAAGCGUGGGGAGCGAACAGGAUUAGAUACCCUGGUAGUCCACGCCGUAAACGAUGAGUGCUAAGUGUUAGGGGGUUUCCGCCCCUUAGUGCUGCAGCUAACGCAUUAAGCACUCCGCCUGGGGGAGUACGGUCGCAAGACUG